GUAGGUGAACCUGCGGAAGGAUCAUUACCGAGAGGGAUAUGCGCCUCGCGGCCACGUCCCGGGGGGUUCCGCCCCCAUCUCUUCAACCCUUGCCUAUCUACCUCUGUUGCUUCGGCGAGCGCUCGGGCGCCAUUGCGCCCGGGCCCCGGCUUCGGUCGGUGCGCUCUCGCCGGAGGCCAUAUUGAUUCUGUCCGUAGUGAUGUCUGAGUGUACCGAUUAAAAUCAAAACUUUCAACAACGGAUCUCUUGGUUCUG
Molecule: unclassified non-coding RNA, 255 nt
Filed under: rhizosphere metagenome
Description: partial ribosomal RNA internal transcribed spacer region
Source: RNAcentral